Molecule: ribosomal RNA, 635 nt
Filed under: Salmonella enterica subsp. enterica serovar Richmond
Lineage: Bacteria; Pseudomonadati; Pseudomonadota; Gammaproteobacteria; Enterobacterales; Enterobacteriaceae
Description: partial 23S ribosomal RNA
Rfam family: Bacterial large subunit ribosomal RNA
Source: RNAcentral
GGCGGGACACGUGGUAUCCUGUCUGAAUAUGGGGGGACCAUCCUCCAAGGCUAAAUACUCCUGACUGACCGAUAGUGAACCAGUACCGUGAGGGAAAGGCGAAAAGAACCCCGGCGAGGGGAGUGAAAAAGAACCUGAAACCGUGUACGUACAAGCAGUGGGAGCACCCUUUUGGGUGUGACUGCGUACCUUUUGUAUAAUGGGUCAGCGACUUAUAUUCUGUAGCAAGGUUAACCGAAUAGGGGAGCCGGAGGGAAACCGAGUCUUAAUUGGGCGUUAAGUUGCAGGGUAUAGACCCGAAACCCGGUGAUCUAGCCAUGGGCAGGUUGAAGGUUGGGUAACACUAACUGGAGGACCGAACCGACUAAUGUUGAAAAAUUAGCGGAUGACCUGUGGCUGGGGGUGAAAGGCCAAUCAAACCGGGAGAUAGCUGGUUCUCCCCGAAAGCUAUUUAGGUAGCGCCUCGUGAACUCAUCUCCGGGGGUAGAGCACUGUUUCGGCUAGGGGGCCAUCCCGGCUUACCAACCCGAUGCAAACUGCGAAUACCGGAGAAUGUUAUCACGGGAGACACACGGCGGGUGCUAACGUCCGUCGUGAAGAGGGAAACAACCCAGACCGCCAGCUAAGGUCCCAAA